This 48-nucleotide transfer RNA is filed under the name Gastrochilus rantabunensis. Its description in RNAcentral is "partial tRNA-Asp". The record is from RNAcentral. Lineage: Eukaryota; Viridiplantae; Streptophyta; Magnoliopsida; Asparagales; Orchidaceae.
AAAACGGAAGAGAGGAGUUGAUCAAUUCAUCGGAUCGGGACUGACGGG